Molecule: long non-coding RNA, 526 nt
Filed under: Jatropha curcas
Lineage: Eukaryota; Viridiplantae; Streptophyta; Magnoliopsida; Malpighiales; Euphorbiaceae
Description: long non-coding RNA (JCUR_LNC002942)
Source: RNAcentral
GAAAUAACCCAAAUUUUUAUUUUCAAAGAUUUUUCAUUUAAAUUUAAUAAACUGACAGCGUGGAAAAUGUAUUUCAAUAUUUAAAUGUGAAUUAAUAAUUUGUACAGUGAUAAACCGAAUUGAAAACCAAUUAAAAAUCGAAAAAAAUCAAACAAAAAUCAAGAUUUGGGCCGAAUCGAAUCGAAAUCGAAUCGAAUCAGCCCAAACCACUUCUAGAAGCCUCUCCCCUCUAUAUCCAGCGCAAACUUCACCCUGCAGUCCACCAUUUUCUGCGCCACCUGCAGUCCACCACCGUUACUGCCACCACCGCGCCACCUCCUCUCCUCUCUUCUUCUUCUUCUUCUUCUUUCUUUCUUUCCUUUUUCUUUCUUUCUUUCCCUUUCUCCCUGCAACUGUGUCUGCGUCACUGCCAGCAGCUCCAGCAACAUCAGUCGAUCACCACCGCGUGCCAGUUGCAGUCGCACCGCCUCCUUCGCGCGCCAGCACGUCUCACAGCUCCUCCGCGCGCCACAGUCAGCCCUCUACC